CACGUAGUUAGCCGGGGCUUUUUACUCAGGUACCGUCAUUUUUCUUCCCUGCUGAUAGAGCUUUACAUCACGAAUGACUUCUUCACUCACGCGGCGUUGCUGCAUCAGGGUUUCCCCCAUUGUGCAAUAUUCCCCACUGCUGCCUCCCGUAGGAGUUUGGGCCGUGUCUCAGUCCCAAUGUGGCCGUUCACCCUCUCAGGCCGGCUACUGAUCGUCGCCUUGGUGGCUUCUACCCCCGCCAACCAGCUAAUCAGACGCGGAUCCAUCUUACACCACCGGAGUUUUUCACACUGAGCCAUGCGGCUCUGUGCGCUUAUGCGGUAUUAGCACCUAUUUCUAAGUGUUACUCCCCCAGUCGCGAAGGCUAGGUUACUCCCACGGUCGUUUACUCCACCCCGUUCCCGCCCAACUAAGUUACGAAUCUACUAGGUUCAGUCGUAACUCCGUUCGACUUGCAUGUGUUGGCACGCCGCCAGCCGUUCACUCCUGACGCCAGGAUACCAAAACUCUCUCG
Molecule: ribosomal RNA, 514 nt
Filed under: uncultured Lachnospiraceae bacterium
Lineage: Bacteria; Bacillati; Bacillota; Clostridia; Lachnospirales; Lachnospiraceae
Description: partial 16S ribosomal RNA
Source: RNAcentral